This 531-nucleotide ribosomal RNA is filed under the name Priestia megaterium. RNAcentral describes it as "bacterial SSU rRNA". It matches the Rfam family "Bacterial small subunit ribosomal RNA", at positions 48 to 560 of the family's 1533-position model. The record is from RNAcentral. Lineage: Bacteria; Bacillati; Bacillota; Bacilli; Caryophanales; Bacillaceae.
GCUAUACAUGCAGUCGAGCGACUGAUUAGAAGCUUGCUUCUAUGACGUUAGCGGCGGACGGGUGAGUAACACGUGGGCAACCUGCCUGUAAGACUGGGAUAACUUCGGGAAACCGAAGCUAAUACCGGAUAGGAUCUUCUCCUUCAUGGGAGAUGAUUGAAAGAUGGUUUCGGCUAUCACUUACAGAUGGGCCCGCGGUGCAUUAGCUAGUUGGUGAGGUAACGGCUCACCAAGGCAACGAUGCAUAGCCGACCUGAGAGGGUGAUCGGCCACACUGGGACUGAGACACGGCCCAGACUCCUACGGGAGGCAGCAGUAGGGAAUCUUCCGCAAUGGACGAAAGUCUGACGGAGCAACGCCGCGUGAGUGAUGAAGGCUUUCGGGUCGUAAAACUCUGUUGUUAGGGAAGAACAAGUACAAGAGUAACUGCUCGUACCUUGACGGUACCUAACCAGAAGGCCACGGCUAACUACAUGGCAGUUGCCCCGUUAAUUCCUAGCUGGCAAGAAUAAAUCCAGGAAGUAUUGGGCG